Molecule: ribosomal RNA, 301 nt
Filed under: uncultured bacterium
Lineage: Bacteria
Description: partial 16S ribosomal RNA
Rfam family: Bacterial small subunit ribosomal RNA
Source: RNAcentral
CAGCCGCCACGGUAACACGGAGGGUGCAAGCGUUAAUCGGAAUUACUGGGCGUAAAGCGUGCGUAGGCGGUUCGUUAAGUCUGUUGUGAAAGCCCCGGGCUCAACCUGGGAAUGGCAAUGGAUACUGGCGAGCUAGAGUGUGUCAGAGGAUGGUGGAAUUCCCGGUGUAGCGGUGAAAUGCGUAGAGAUCGGGAGGAACAUCAGUGGCGAAGGCGGCCAUCUGGGACAACACUGACGCUGAGGCACGAAAGCGUGGGGAGCAAACAGGAUUAGAUACCCCCGUAGUCCCUGUCUCUUAUAC